Long non-coding RNA from Ananas comosus (pineapple), 666 nucleotides. RefSeq lists it as uncharacterized. Lineage: Eukaryota; Viridiplantae; Streptophyta; Magnoliopsida; Poales; Bromeliaceae. The record is from RefSeq and is a predicted model, not a curated record. The transcript has 3 exons.
UCAUUCCUCUCUACUUGAGCCAACAUAAGAAAAAUCUCUCUCUCUCUCUCUCUAGGAUUGGCUCCAAAGUGUAGAGUUUGCUAGAGAAAAGCUUGCUUAAAAGUGAAGCUUUCUUUUUCUUCACCAUUGGCUGGAAGAGAGCUUGGGUUUGAGAGGUAAACGAACGCGUUGGCGAAGUCGGUUCGGCGAUUCGUUGAGCCUACGCGAAGUUAUUAAAGAAACGGACAUUUAGGCUUCGUUUCCGCCUGGAGGGCCGAGGCGACGUCGUAAAAUCAUGGAAUCGGAUUUGAGGCACCGUAACAACAAAACAAAGACCCUUUUUGCCCGAGGCUGCGAAGCGAUGCACGGUCGGUGCGCAAUUGCAAGUUCCGGCGGAACCGAGCACCGGAUGCGGCGGGAGGCCGAUUGCAAGUAUCGACAAGCAAUCGAAAUGCACUAACAGGUUUGCACGUGAGCGGCGCGGCGGCGUAAGGAGAGGGCGUAUCUCCGUAGAUAGCGCCUUACCACCGAGACCAGAGAUAGCAGUACCCCAAAGUGGCCUAGCUUAGGGGUUAGAGAUGUAAGAAAUAAACUUGUAAUAAUUAUGAUUGUAUUUGGAAGUUGAGGAUGUAUAGCAAAUAAUGUAAUAUAAAUGUGAAUGCUUGUAAUAGCAUAGGAUUUAUAUUG